Molecule: transfer RNA, 72 nt
Filed under: Patescibacteria group bacterium
Lineage: Bacteria
Description: tRNA-Val
Rfam family: tRNA
About the family: Transfer RNA (tRNA) molecules are approximately 80 nucleotides in length. Their secondary structure includes four short double-helical elements and three loops (D, anti-codon, and T loops).
Source: RNAcentral
GCGCGUUUAGCUCAGUGGUAGAGCGUCGCAUUCACAUUGCGAAGGCCGCUGGUCCGAUCCCAGCAACGCGCA